This 253-nucleotide ribosomal RNA is filed under the name uncultured bacterium. RNAcentral describes it as "partial 16S ribosomal RNA". It matches the Rfam family "Bacterial small subunit ribosomal RNA", at positions 524 to 776 of the family's 1533-position model. The record is from RNAcentral.
UACGUAGGGACCGAGCGUUGUCCGGAAUCAUUGGGCGUAGAGAGCGUGUAGGCGGCCACUUAAGUCCUGUGUGAAAUCUUGCGGCUCAACCGCAAGCGGUCGUGGGAAACUGGGUGGCUAGAGUGCGGGAGAGGAGAGUGGAAUUCCUGGUGUAGCGGUGGAAUGCGCAGAUAUCAGGAAGAACACCCGUGGCGAAGGCGGCUCUCUGGAACGCAACUGACGCUGAGACGCGAAAGCGUGGGGAGCAAACAGG